Dermacentor albipictus is the source of this 4898-nucleotide RNA transcript. It is a transcript of the gene named vacuolar protein sorting 52, with no coding region annotated. NCBI's taxonomy places the organism in Eukaryota, Metazoa, Arthropoda, Arachnida, Ixodida, Ixodidae. The record is from RefSeq and is a predicted model, not a curated record.
CGCUCUCAGCUGCUGCUGGCUUACUGGCUGCUGCUAGAGUACUGCCGCGGUGGUGUGUAGACUUUACCUACAAAUUUAACGAUGAGCGCCCGAAGUCACGCACUUUUAUGACUGAAACGUUAACUCUUGAGUAACAAAAUACAUAUAAACACGCAAUGGAUGCCUUAAAACAGCCUGUUGAGGAAGGAAAUGGCGACGCCGGUCUCGUAUUGGAGAACCCUUUCGAGCUGGACGACCCAGCGUUUGACGAAGUCGAUGUGCACAUACAAGAAAACCUUGAAGAUGAGUUUAUCCAAGAAGCGUUGCAAUCGGGCAUGGACCUGAGGCAGUAUUCGCUUCAGGUUGAAAAAGACCUCAAAGAAGUCGAGAAUGCUUCGAUCCAGGACUAUAUCAAGGAGAGUGUCAACAUUGCAAGUCUUCACAACCAAAUAGCAGCCUGUGAUCAAAUACUUGAGCGAAUGGAGAACAUGUUGAAGACGUUCCAGGAGGAUUUGGGCAGCAUCAGUCACGAAAUCCUGACACUUCAGCAGCAGUCAGUGUCAAUGAACCUUCGUCUGAAGAACAGACAGGCUGUUCGAGGUGAACUCAGUCAGUUUGUCGACGACAUCAUCGUGCCUGAAAGCAUGAUACUGAACAUCCUCGAGACACCUGUUACGGAAAAAGAGUUUCUGGAGCAGCUCUAUGUUCUGGAUCACAAGAUCUCCUUUGUCAAGGAGCAGUCCUUCAAGGACUCCAGGUCAUGCCAAGAUGUCAGGGACAUACUCGAGAAGCUAAAGCUGAAGGCCAUUGGAAAGAUUCGAGAGUACCUGCUGCAGAAGGUGUACUUGUUUCGCAAGCCCAUGACAAACUACCAGGUGCCCCAAAAUGCCAUGCUGAAGCACAAGUUCUUCUACCAGUUCCUCAUGACACACGAGAGGGAAGUGGCUCGAGAGAUUCGAGAUGAGUAUGUGGAUACAAUGGGCAAAAUUCUCUUCUCUUACUUCAAGACAUACACCAACCGGCUGAUGAAACUUCAGUAUGAAGAAGUUCCUGAAAAGGAUGACUUGAUGGGUGUGGAAGAUACUACAAAAAGGAGCCUGUUCAGCUCGAAACCAUCACUAAAGAACAAAUCCACAGUGUUUACAGUGGGAAGUCGCAACAAUGUGCUCACCACAGAAUUGGAGAGCCCCAUCAUUGUGCCCCAUGCUGCGCAGAAGAAUGAAGUUAGGUACCCCUUUGAAAGUCUGUUCAGAAGUCAGCAGUACGCACUGCUUGACAACGCCUGCCGCGAAUACCUCUUCGUCACUGAGUUCUUCAUUGUGUCGGGCCCUGCAGCUCAGGAGCUCUUCAAUUCGAUCAUGAACAGGACAUUGGCCAUGUUUGUGAAACAUGUGGAACUCUACGUGCAAGAUUGCUAUGAUUCCAUAGCACUGUUCCUCUGCAUUCACAUAAUACACCGGUUUCAGUUACUGAUGCACGAGAGAUCUGUACCUGCACUGGACAGGUACUGGGAGUCUUUGCUACAACAUCUCUACCCAAGGUUCGAGUACAUUCUCAAACUCAACAUUCAAAGCAUCAGGGACUGUGACCCUCAGAAACUGGGGAGCAUUGACAUGCGACCACAUUAUAUUACCAGGAGAUAUGCCGAGUUCUCCGCUGCCAUUGUCAGCAUCAACGAGAACUUUCCCAGUGAUCGUGUAGCUACGCUGCUGGCAUCUCUGCAAGGAGAAGUUGAGAACUUCAUCUUAAAGAUGGCGGCAGAAUUUCAAGGAAGAAAGGAGCAACUUAUUUUUCUCAUCAACAAUUACGACAUGAUGCUGAGUGUGCUGCUGGAGCGGACAAAAGAGGACUCCAAGGAGACAGAGAGCUUCAAGGAGCUGCUUCAGGCACGCACACAGGAGUACGUAGAGGAGAUCCUGGCUCCCCAUUUUGGCGGCAUGAUCAGCUUCGUCAAGGAGUGUGAGCUGCUCCAGGAGAGGGGCCAGGCCGACCAGAUGCAGAAGGAAGAGAAAAAAGUAGCCAUGCUUAUACGUUCGUUCAACUCAGGGUGGAAGAAGGCCAUUGAUGACAUCAACCAGGACAUCAUGCAGACCUUUACCAACUUCAAGAAUGGCACCAACAUCUUGCAGGCAGCCCUGAUGCAGCUAAUUCAGUACUACCACCGGUUCCAGAAGGUGCUAAGCCAGGCUCCCUUCAAGCAGCUCACGGUUCGCUCUGAACUCCUGAACAUCCACCACCUCAUGGUGGAGGUGAAAAAAUACAAGCCAAACUUCUGAGCCACACAGGACAAGGCUGGAAGUGUACAUAGUUUAGCUCGCAGUGUGCAGUAGAUAGUCAUUGCACAACUAGCUGCUCCUUGCCACAGUCCAGCCCUGAACAUGGCGGUGCCCAUCAAGUUUUCUGUGAAGAGGUGUAUACAAGCCUGUCAAAAGCACAGGCUUGGCUCUCAUUUUUCUCAAUUGCUGAAGUGUCUCAACAUUGCCUGCAAAAGCCAGUGACCAGUGUUCUGGCAAAGCUGAAGACCAACGUCCAAUCAAAUCAUGAUGAAUGUUUGCAACAUAUUCUUACAUGAAUUAAGUGAUUUGUCACGAAGAUUUAAUUUUACAUAUGUAAACUGCCGUUUUCUUGGUACAGGAAAGGCUAUAUGUAGGCACUAUACAUACAGGAACACUAUAUGUGAGUACUAUACUACAGGAAAGGCAGUAUGUGUCUACUAUAAGUAGACCUCCAUUAAUUUGACUCCAGUUAAUUUGAUUGUUCGGAUAAUUUGAUCCCAACUGAUCGUCCCUGCCGGCGCCUGUGCAUUUCUAUGGGCCCAUACUUUCGUUAUUUCAUUCCUAAAGUUGGCCUUCGCCAGAUAAUUCAAACUUGGAACAGUCAACAUUCACGCGCCUGACCCCUACGAUGGCCCCAAAAGCAGCUCUUUACUGGUAGCAUUUGUCUUGGGAAAGCUUAGGGGACUGAAUGAGUUGAACACACGUCGUGACGAAAAUGCCUAUUUUCGGCCUGCCCUGGGAGUAUUUUCGAGCAAAUACGGUAGCACGUAAUGUCUGAUUAUGGUAUUUGCUCGAUUCUAGCACGCCUCGUUUCUUUUUUUUUUUCGAAGCUAAUUAAUCCAACUGCUUUCGUGUCCUUUGUAUGCUUUGCCGCAUAACAUUACUGUAUUGCGGCGAAGCUGACUUUAGAAACCUGGCCGCCACUGUUCAACACAUAUUUAACCCUUGCCCAUUUUAUUGCUAAAAAAUUGGGCGAGCGUUAAAUUUUUACUUUGUUCAGGAGCUUUAAUGUUAUCUCUGCAUUAGUUUCUUUUUUUACUUUGUACGCAUUUAAAGUACGCGUGCAAUUCAUUCGGGGGCGUGUUACAAUCGAGUAAAUACUACCAAAUGAAUCGGCAGUGUUGUGCGUCUUGUUUAAUUCGAACUGCCGUAUAUUUCGAUCCAUUUCGUCGUUCCUUCCAGGGUCGUCUUAAUUGAUUUGGCUCUUGCAUCUUGUUCAUAGUCGAGGGCAUGUUAAGAUAGCUAAGCCACCACUACACCUUGUACAAUGAGCAAAACGAGAACAAGGUGAAAGCAGGAGCCAAUGUUUCGACAUGUGGACUUAUCUUCUUCAAGGUGCUUUGAAGAAGACAAGUCCACUUGUCGAAACGCUGGCUCCUGUUUUCACCUUGUUCUCAUGUUGCUCAUCGUCUUGAAUUUCUAUCUCCCACCUUCCCCGUGUUUUCCCUGGAUCACACCUUGUAGCCAUUUUGUGUUUUGUUCACGAACACACAGGAGGUGCAAAAUGUAAGCUUUCUGCGAGUAAUGGCUUCGAUUGCUACAGCAUGUAUAUAGAUUGACAAGAGCCCGUAACCUGAAGCCUCCGUAAUGUGCGUCGCUAUGGAUCAAAAGGCAUGCAUCUGCACCAACUACCCCAAUAGCAAUGUUUGUCGGAAAAAAAUAAAGCACUUCAGCUAGGAUGAAACCUAAACCUUCAUAUUUAAAACUGAUGGACCAGCCAGCCACUGCACCGGGAUGUUGACAAAGUGUGAAUGUUAAAAGCAGCGUUGCCUCAUUGAGGCAGUGAUUGUGGUGUGUGCUAUCACCAAUGACCAGCAACGAGGUUUGAAACACAAGAUGGGAAAGGGAGGGAAAAUCAAAAGAUUGUGUGCUUUCAAAACACACUGUUUGUACACCGCUAGGAAUGUCCUCUGUAACUGAUGCUACCCGAAACAGUUCCAAGUCAUACAUUGCAUGAUAACGUACUAGCUAUUAUCACAUUAACAAGGCGAGUACUGAAAGACAAAGCAUGUCAUACUUACUAAUAAUACUUUUUUGGUUGGCAUGCUCUUUUGACAUGCCAGCUAUUACUAUCACUGCUUUGCACUUUGAGAAAUACCACUUUUUUAAUGCAUUGUUGUUUGGGUACUUCUUGCACUUUCCAGGGACUAUCAUCUGUUUGUCUGCCUUUCCCAACCUACCUCUACAUCUCUCCACCUCCCUACCUACCUACCUACCUCUACCUAUCUAGCUAGCGGAGCUGCUAUCACACAAGCCCGCUACUCUAUUAUGCCACACAGGCAUCCUUAAAGAGGUAGAAUAGAACAUCCUUAAGAGCUUCUUGCAUGGUGACGUGUCACAUGUUUUUAGAAUGCUUAUGGUUUCCUGUCAGUCUUGCCUCGUCCACUAUCAAUGUGCGACCCGUGCAACACCACUGGCAGCACUCUUCAUCACGCUAGAGCUGUCACAAAUUUUGUAGCCGAGAGGGUGCUGUUCUGUCCAGCAGUAGUUGCCUUAAGUGCUGCAUGGUACCAAGAUGUUGCACCCGCAUAUAGUUUGAAUGUCGUUUGAGGAGUACAACCACACUAGCACAGAUGCCCGAUACUGUGACCAUUUGGUCACGGAUGCUUUUUCCCCGCAGUGACAUGCCUCAUAAGCAUAUUG